UAUCUUUAAGUGUUGUGCACGUAAACUUUUGAUGUUUAAAGUAGAUUUUUAUCUAAAGAUAA
This 62-nucleotide transfer RNA is filed under the name Asellus aquaticus. RNAcentral describes it as "tRNA-Gln". The record is from RNAcentral. Lineage: Eukaryota; Metazoa; Arthropoda; Malacostraca; Isopoda; Asellidae.